GAUGAACGCUGGCGGUAUGCUUAACACAUGCAAGUCGAACGGUCACUUCGGUGAUAGUGGCGGACGUGUGAGUAACGCGUUAGAAUCUGUCUUCAGGUCGUGGACAACAGUUAGAAAUGACUGCUAAUACCGGAUGUGCCUUUGGGUGAAAGAUUUAUUGCCUGAAAAAGAGCUCGCGUCAGAUUAGCUAGUAGGUGGUGUAAGAGACUACCUAGGCUCCGAUCUGUAGCUGGUCUGAGAGGACGAUCAGCCACACUGGAAAUGAGACACGGUCCAGACUGCUACGGGAGGCAGCAGUGGGGAAUUUUCCGGAAGGGGCGAAAGCCUGACGGAGCAAUACCGCGUGAGGGACGAAGGCUUUUGGGUCGUAAACCUCGUUUCUAAAGGAAGAUGAUGACGGAACUUGAGGAAUAAGCAUCGGCUAACUCUGUG
Molecule: ribosomal RNA, 432 nt
Filed under: uncultured bacterium
Lineage: Bacteria
Description: partial 16S ribosomal RNA
Rfam family: Bacterial small subunit ribosomal RNA
Source: RNAcentral